AGCCACAGCCAUAUCACCCUGCAGCCCAAGACUGGUUGCCCACUGAAGCUAAGCAGGGUUGAGCCUGGUUAGUACCUGGAUGGGAGACCUCCUGGGAAAACUAGGUUGCUAUUGGAG
RNAcentral lists this ribosomal RNA (117 nucleotides) under Sinocyclocheilus rhinocerous. The record is from RNAcentral. Lineage: Eukaryota; Metazoa; Chordata; Actinopteri; Cypriniformes; Cyprinidae.